UCUACAAAUAGGUGGUGAUCCUCUAUUACUUCACUCCACGCCAUUUAUCUUGGUACGAAAAUGCUGCUGUUUCUCUGUUGGUGACACAGUUGUGAGUGCGAUCCAUUCACCCAGUCACUGAUCCAUUGCAUACAAUAAUUCUGGCUCUUGCCUGUCUAAAGCAAAAGCCUUGAAUUUAUCUCCAUAAGCAAUUCUUCCUUUUCAAGAUCUGUUUCUGCUUAAUUUCUAUAUUCAUGCAACACUUCUCAGAUAAGGAAAAGGUUCGACAUCAU
This is a long non-coding RNA of Vigna angularis (adzuki bean), 272 nucleotides long. RefSeq lists it as uncharacterized. The record is from RefSeq and is a predicted model, not a curated record. The transcript has 3 exons. Lineage: Eukaryota; Viridiplantae; Streptophyta; Magnoliopsida; Fabales; Fabaceae.